This 261-nucleotide ribosomal RNA is filed under the name uncultured Actinomycetales bacterium. RNAcentral's name for it is "partial 16S ribosomal RNA". It matches the Rfam family "Bacterial small subunit ribosomal RNA", at positions 524 to 783 of the family's 1533-position model. Lineage: Bacteria; Bacillati; Actinomycetota; Actinomycetes; Actinomycetales. The record is from RNAcentral.
UACGUAGGGUGCGAGCGUUGUCCGGAAUUACUGGGCGUAAAGGGCUCGUAGGUGGUUUGUCGCGUCGUCUGUGAAAUUCCGGGGCUUAACUCCGGGCGUGCAGGCGAUACGGGCAUAACUUGAGUACUGUAGGGGUAACUGGAAUUCCUGGUGUAGCGGUGAAAUGCGCAGAUAUCAGGAGGAACACCGAUGGCGAAGGCAGGUUACUGGGCAGUUACUGACGCUGAGGAGCGAAAGCAUGGGUAGCGAACAGGAUUAGAU